GUGCCGUUAGUUCAGUUGGUUAGAGCAGCCGCCUCAUAAGCGGCAAGUUGUGGGUUCAAAUCCCACACGGCACA
Dorea formicigenerans CAG:28 is the source of this 74-nucleotide transfer RNA. It matches the Rfam family "tRNA". Rfam says of the family: Transfer RNA (tRNA) molecules are approximately 80 nucleotides in length. The record is from Rfam. NCBI's taxonomy places the organism in Bacteria, Bacillati, Bacillota, Clostridia, Lachnospirales, Lachnospiraceae.